UCCCAUAUGGUCUAGUGGCUAGGAUGCCUGGCUUUCACCCAGGAGGCUCGGGUUCGAUUCCCGGUAUGGGAA
Molecule: transfer RNA, 72 nt
Filed under: Daphnia magna
Lineage: Eukaryota; Metazoa; Arthropoda; Branchiopoda; Diplostraca; Daphniidae
Rfam family: tRNA
About the family: Transfer RNA (tRNA) molecules are approximately 80 nucleotides in length. Their secondary structure includes four short double-helical elements and three loops (D, anti-codon, and T loops).
Source: Rfam by way of RNAcentral